AGCUGUAGAAAUACGGCCUUCCCGCAAGGGACCUGAGUAUAGGCGCUGCAUGGCUGUCGUCAGCUCGUGCCGUGAGGUGUUGGGUUAAGUCCCGCAACGAGCGCAACCCUGCACACAGUUACUACUCGCAAGAGAGGACUCUGUGUGGACUGCUCCGGAUAACGGAGAGGAAGGUGGGGAUGACGUCAAGUCCGCAUGGCCUUUAUGUCCAGGGCUACACACGUGUUACAAUGCAGGGCACAAACCGUUGCCAACCCGCGAGGGGGAGCUAAUCGGAAAAAACCCUGCUCAGUUCGGAUUGCAGUCUGCAACUCGACUGCAUGAAGCCGGAAUCGCUAGUAAUGGCGUAUCAGAUCGACGCCGUGAAUACGUUCCCGGGCCUUGUACACACCGCCCGUCACAUCACGAAAGUGAGUUGUACUAGAAGUCGCCGCGCGAACCGCAAGGACGCAAGCGCCCAAGGUAUGACUCAUGAUUGGGGUGAAGUCGUAACAAGGUAGGCGUAGUGCU
This 510-nucleotide ribosomal RNA is filed under the name uncultured bacterium. RNAcentral describes it as "bacterial SSU rRNA". It matches the Rfam family "Bacterial small subunit ribosomal RNA", at positions 996 to 1509 of the family's 1533-position model. The record is from RNAcentral.